RNAcentral lists this ribosomal RNA (555 nucleotides) under uncultured bacterium. Its description in RNAcentral is "bacterial SSU rRNA". It matches the Rfam family "Bacterial small subunit ribosomal RNA", at positions 567 to 1116 of the family's 1533-position model. The record is from RNAcentral.
GCUCGUAGGCGGCCUGUCGCGUCGGAUGUGAAAGCCCGGGGCUUAACCCCGGGUCUGCAUUCGAUACGGGCAGGCUAGAGUUCGGUAGGGGAGAUCGGAAUUCCUGGUGUAGCGGUGAAAUGCGCAGAUAUCAGGAGGAACACCGGUGGCGAAGGCGGAUCUCUGGGCCGAUACUGACGCUGAGGAGCGAAAGCGUGGGGAGCGAACAGGAUUAGAUACCCUGGUAGUCCACGCCGUAAACGUUGGGAACUAGGUGUGGGCGACAUUCCACGUCGUCCGUGCCGCAGCUAACGCAUUAAGUUCCCCGCCUGGGGAGUACGGCCGCAAGGCUAAAACUCAAAGGAAUUGACGGGGGCCUGCACAAGCGGCGGAGCAUGUGGCUUAAUUCGACGCAACGCGAAGAACUCUUACCUAAGGCUUGACAUAUAUCGGAAAACUGUAGAGAUACGGUCUCCUCUUGUGGUCGGUGUACAGGUGGUGCAUGGUUGUCGUCAGCUCGUGUCGUGAGAUGUUGGGUUAAGUUCCUGCAAUGAGCGCAAUCCUUUGUUCUGUGUU